AACGAACGCUGGCGGCGUGUUUAAGACAUGCAAGUCGCACGGGAUCACAUGAGUAGCAAUACAAGUGUGGUUUAGUGGCGCACGGGUGAGUAACACGUGAAUUACAUGCCCUUCAGAGGGGAAUAGCCCAGGGAAACUUGGAUUAAUACCCCAUGGUCUCGCAAGAGUAAAGGUGGCCGCAAGGCUGCCGCUGAGGGAUUGGUUCGCGCCCUAUCAGCUUGUUGGCGGGGUAACGGCCCACCAAGGCUACGACGGGUACCUGGUCUGAGAGGACGAUCAGGCACACUGGAACUGAGACACGGUCCAGACACCUACGGGUGGCAGCAGUCGAGAAUAAUUCACAAUGGGGGCAACCCUGAUGGUGCAACGCCGCGUGGAGGAUGACGGUCUUCGGAUUGUAAACUCCUGUCAUCCGGGAGUAAGACCUGGGAGUUAACAGCUCACAGGGUUGAUAGUACCGGAAGAGGAAGGACGGCUAACUUCGUGC
Molecule: ribosomal RNA, 487 nt
Filed under: uncultured freshwater bacterium LCK-08
Lineage: Bacteria
Description: bacterial SSU rRNA
Rfam family: Bacterial small subunit ribosomal RNA
Source: RNAcentral